UUUAACACAACGAUUCUAAGUUCUCUAAAGUCUGUCUUUAGAGCUAAGAGGGAAACAGGUGAGAGACCUGUACAGUCGUGCUACUGUAAAUGUGUAGUUUUUUCAGUGACUUUUAUAUAGAAGUCAACCAUUGUGCCAAGGCAUGAGAAGGUAGAAAAAACGUUACUGCAUAAGUCAGGAGACCUGCUUAGAAUUUCUUCCAUUU
RNAcentral lists this non-coding RNA (205 nucleotides) under Eubacterium ventriosum. The record is from RNAcentral. Lineage: Bacteria; Bacillati; Bacillota; Clostridia; Eubacteriales; Eubacteriaceae.